This 280-nucleotide ribosomal RNA is filed under the name uncultured bacterium. RNAcentral describes it as "partial 16S ribosomal RNA". It matches the Rfam family "Bacterial small subunit ribosomal RNA", at positions 334 to 611 of the family's 1533-position model. The record is from RNAcentral.
CUGUCCCACGGGAGGCAGCAGUGAGGAAUAUUGGUCAAUGGCCGGAAGGCUGAACCAGCCAAGCCGCGUGAGGGAGGAAGGCGCAGAGCGUCGCAGACCUCUUUUGCCGGGGGACAAAAGGCCGGACUCGUCCGGUCCUGAGGGUACCCGGAGAAAAAGCAUCGGCUAACUCCGUGCCAGCAGCCGCGGUAAUACGGAGGAUGCGAGCGUUAUCCGGAUUCAUUGGGUUUAAAGGGUGCGCAGGCGGCCUGUUAAGUCAGCGGUAAAAGCCCGGGGCUCA